UUACACAUGCAAGUCGUACGGAAGUUUUUAACUUUAGUGGCGGACGGGUGAGUAACACGUAAGAAUUCGCCUUUAGGAGGGGGAUAACAACUGGAAACGGUUGCUAAUACCCCAUAUGCUUUCGAGUGAAACGGUUUGUCCGCCUAAAGAGAAGCUUGCGGCUGAUUAGCUUGUUGGUAAGGUAAUGGCUUACCAAGGCGACGAUCAGUAUCUGGUUUGAGAGGACGAUCAGACACACUGGAACUGAGACACGGUCCAGACUCCUACGGGAGGCAGCAGUGGGGAAUUUUCCGCAAUGGGCGAAAGCCUGACGGAGCGAUACCGCGUGAGGGAUGACGGCCUAUGGGUUGUAAACCUCUUUUUUCAGGGAGGAAUCAAUGACGUGUACCUGAAGAAUAAGCAUCGGCUAACUCCGUGCCAGCAGCCGCGGUAAGACGGAGGAUGCAAGUGUUAUCCGGAAUCACUGGGCGUAAAGCGUCUGUAGGUGGUUUAAUAAGUCAACUGUUAAAUCUUGAGGCUUAACCUCGAAAUCGCAGUCGAAACUAUUAGACUAGAGUAUAGUAGGGGUAAAGGGAAUUUCCAGUGGAGCGGUGAAAUGCGUAGAUAUUGGAAAGAACACCAAUGGCGAAGGCACUUUACUGGGCUAUUACUAACAAGGAGAGACGAAAGCUAGGGUAGCAAAUGGGAUUAGAUACCCUGGCAGUC
This 705-nucleotide ribosomal RNA is filed under the name uncultured bacterium. RNAcentral describes it as "bacterial SSU rRNA". It matches the Rfam family "Bacterial small subunit ribosomal RNA", at positions 49 to 795 of the family's 1533-position model. The record is from RNAcentral.